UACAGGCAUGCGCCACCAUGCCCAGCUAAUUUUUCUGUUUUUAGUAGAGACGGGGUUUCACCAUGUUGGCCAGGCUGGUUUCAGUCUCUUGAUGUCAUGAUCCAUCCAUCAUGGCCUCCCAGAGUGCUGGGAUUACAGGUGUGAGCCACCCUGCCUGGCCCAUUCAGUCAUU
Molecule: long non-coding RNA, 172 nt
Organism: Sapajus apella (tufted capuchin)
Lineage: Eukaryota; Metazoa; Chordata; Mammalia; Primates; Cebidae
Exons: 3
Source: RefSeq, a predicted model, not a curated record